This 113-nucleotide ribosomal RNA is filed under the name Paenibacillus larvae. Lineage: Bacteria; Bacillati; Bacillota; Bacilli; Caryophanales; Paenibacillaceae. The record is from RNAcentral.
UUUGGUGACGAUAGCGGAAGGGAACCACGCGUACCGCUCAUCACGGCCGUUAAGCCUUCCAGCGCCGUGGGUACUUGGACCGAAGGGUCCUGGGGAGUAGGACGUUGCCAAGC